CUCCUCAAAAUGUAUGCCUGAACAUUUUCUCUUGACAACAAUUACUUCAUACUCUUUGGCUCCUGUGGGACACAAAGCAACAACAUUCCCUCUCCGUUUGUCUCUAUUUUGUGCAGCAUGUUCUGCCUUGCUCCAUGUGAGUUUUACCUCACUGAGCUCAGCUGUGACAGUUUAGCACCAGGUGGUUUUUGGUCGAGCAGUUUUCUGUUUCCAAGGUGGUCUCCAUUGCAAGAACAUCACAGCCCAUGCGGAUUUGCUAUGCUUUGCUAUUUCGAGACUUCGAGUGGGUUCAUGUUGCAGCUCUCAUGAGGUCUCACAUGAAUGGCUUCACACCCUUUGAGACGACAAUAGAACAAACAACAGAAACAAUGCCCCCUAGCCCCAAAACAAUAACAGCUGCUGCAAUGACAACAAAUAGAAUAAUAUUACAAGCUUACGAGAACUGCUACACUACUGUAGUGCAUGAGAGUUGCCAGGUUUACAGUAGGUGUACGUAGGCUUUCUAUGUUUUUGAAUUCUUUUAUUUGAUUGUUCGGGGCGUGGUUCUUUUUCAGCUAUGGUUUUGUGACAUUCACAACAAUGCAAGCUCGUGAUGACCUUCUAAAAAAGGGAACAGUGGAUUACAAGGGAGGGAGAAAGCUCCGCCUAAGAAAGGCAGUUAAAAAGGAGAUGGGUGGGCAGUUUUUUGUGGCAAACGGUAGCAGCAUCAACAGCAGUAAUGCUCACAAUGGAGGUUGGUGUCAAACAGACCUAAAAUUUUAUACUAAGGAGUUUGGCAAAAUGCUGUCAAAAUUAGGAUUACAGUGAAAGCUGUAUUAAGCGAACCCCAUACUAAGCAGACACCCUCUAUUAAGAGGACACCAGCUUGAGUCCCUAAAUUUGCAAUUCAGUGGGCACAAAUCAUGUACCAUUUUCCUUUAAAGUCUUAGUGUGGGGUGUGGCACCCAGUGGCUAUCAUGUCCCUUUUUAAAUUUUCUUUCAUUUUAAUUUUUUUUUUUAAACUUGACAAUUUACAUUUGACAGUUCUCUGAAGUUCAUUUUCUUACAUGACAUUUUCUUGCAGUCAAAAGUGGCUUUCCAGAAAUUGCCUUGCAUUGCAGUACAGCUUACAUAUUAGGUCUUGACCAAUAAUUGUGCAGGAAUUCUGUCAGUUGAUGCGACACAAGUGGUCUUUAGUGGCCAAAUAACUGUUAUAACAUUAUUGCAGUUAUCAGCAGCUUGACACACAAUCAAGGUGAAAGGGUCAAUUCUGCAUUAUAUUGACUCUUUAACCUCGUUUGCAUGCCUUUUAAAACUAAGCAAUAUUUGACCGCAAACUCAACUGCAAUAACAGGUAUUGACCAGCUGUGAGGAGGAUUUUGUCCAUCUGGUUUGACCAGAAGGAAGAAAGUUUUGCUUGUGACAAAGUUCAUUGCAAAGAGUUCUGCCUGCUUGUGAAAACCAAUUGCCCACCUGAUGAAAGUCCUUCAGGAAACGCUUGGGUUAAUUGAGCUCAAGGAAAGAUUGACAGGGAGGUGUAAAUGAUGUAAAAUUUUAGUUUGUCCCAGAAUAUUUGUAAGCCCAAAAAUUCUCCUUACCAUUUUCCCAUACCCUCUCCCACCCCUCAACAAAAAAUUAAUCCUCUACUUAUAAUUGAACCCUCCCACCCUUCCAAGUAAAAAAGGAUCUUAAGAAAGUGCCUGUCCUAGGAUGGUUAAUUGGUACCUCAGCAGAGGUCCCAUUAAUGUUUUCAGCAGGAGUGUAAAUGGUUGCAGGCAGACAAAACCUUUUGAAUUUAACUUCUUAAUAAGGAAACCUUCUAGAUGGUCAAACCAGGCGGGCAAAAUCAUCCCCAGAGCCAGUCAAUUUACCUGGUGCGCAGCCCUUUAUGAAACCCCUACCAGUGAAGACCUCACACUAUUUACAUACGCCAGUAUGUGUCUUUUGUCCUUAGUUGUAGGUGGACAAAUCGUGUUGGUUCCUGUGGUGGAGCCAGCACCUGCACCAUACACCAACAAUCAAGUGUGCUACAUUCAGCAGCCCACAGUCAACUAUCAUAAUUUUAUGGCACAGCAGUACAACUGGCCAAAUCUACAAACAGGUCCAUUUUAUUACUGUUAUUAUUAAAAAAAGAGGUAAGUGGUGUUGUGUUUAGGCUGUUA
This 2141-nucleotide unclassified non-coding RNA is filed under the name Orbicella faveolata. RNAcentral's name for it is "uncharacterized LOC110065357, transcript variant X1". The record is from RNAcentral. Lineage: Eukaryota; Metazoa; Cnidaria; Anthozoa; Scleractinia; Merulinidae.